AAAUUGAAGAGUUUGAUCAUGGCUCAGAUUGAACGCUGGCGGCAGGCCUAACACAUGCAAGUCGAACGGUAACAGGAAGCAGGUUGCUGCUUCGCUGACGAGUGGCGGACGGGUGAGUAAUGUCUGGGAAACUGCCUGAUGGAGGGGGAUAACUACUGGAAACGGUAGCUAAUACCGCAUAAUGUCGCAAGACCAAAGAGGGGGACCUUCGGGCCUCUUGCCAUCGGAUGUGCCCAGAUGGGAUUAGCUUGUUGGUGGGGUAACGGCUCACCAAGGCGACGAUCCCUAGCUGGUCUGAGAGGAUGACCAGCCACACUGGAACUGAGACACGGUCCAGACUCCUACGGGAGGCAGCAGUGGGGAAUAUUGCACAAUGGGCGCAAGCCUGAUGCAGCCAUGC
RNAcentral lists this ribosomal RNA (400 nucleotides) under Escherichia coli. Its description in RNAcentral is "bacterial SSU rRNA". It matches the Rfam family "Bacterial small subunit ribosomal RNA", at positions 1 to 397 of the family's 1533-position model. Lineage: Bacteria; Pseudomonadati; Pseudomonadota; Gammaproteobacteria; Enterobacterales; Enterobacteriaceae. The record is from RNAcentral.